AAUGGGAUUCCUUAAGUAAUUGCGAAUGAACAAGGAACUGCUCAGCUUGAAAAUUGGGGCCUUCGGCCUUGAAUUGUAAUUUUGAAAUGUAUUGCCAAUGGAGGCGCAGGUGCAAGCCUAUUGAAAGAAAGCGUCAAUGAGGGUGAGAUUCCUUUUUGUCAUUUGCAGUCCUCCGUGCACGGUAUAUAUUUGACGAGUCACACUCCUCGGCAUUGGAAUGCAAAGUGGGUGGUAAAUUCCAUGUAAAGGAAAAUAUAUUAUUGAGACUGAUAGCAAACAAGUACCAUGAGGGAAAUAUGAAAAGGACUUUGAAAAGAGAAUUAAAAGAGUCUGCAUUUGCUGAACAGAAAGCAAACAGAAUUGAUCUACUUGGUGAGAUUGUUGCGUCCACUUGUGGGCGCAAUGGUUCUUACCUUGAAUGUCAGCGUCUAUUUCUGCAAAUCAUUACCCUUGCACAUGAAUGGUAAUUUGCCUGUGGGUAUUGGAAUGCAUGUGUUUGCAAUGAUUUGUGAUUUGAUACGUGUGUCUGGUGUUCUUGUGUGUGCCCUAUUGCCUAAAGGGGAGGGCUCUCCUCCCUGGGCACUGCAAGCCCUUGCACAUUGUUGCUGGCAAAAUGUUUCUGCUUGACCCGUCUUGA
RNAcentral lists this ribosomal RNA (637 nucleotides) under Alexandrium ostenfeldii. RNAcentral describes it as "eukaryotic LSU rRNA". It matches the Rfam family "Eukaryotic large subunit ribosomal RNA", at positions 68 to 657 of the family's 3401-position model. Lineage: Eukaryota; Dinophyceae; Gonyaulacales; Pyrocystaceae. The record is from RNAcentral.